Molecule: transfer RNA, 72 nt
Filed under: Microcaldota archaeon
Lineage: Archaea; Nanobdellati; Microcaldota
Description: tRNA-Ala
Rfam family: tRNA
About the family: Transfer RNA (tRNA) molecules are approximately 80 nucleotides in length. Their secondary structure includes four short double-helical elements and three loops (D, anti-codon, and T loops). Further hydrogen bonds mediate the characteristic L-shaped molecular structure. tRNAs have two regions of fundamental functional importance: the anti-codon, which is responsible for specific mRNA codon recognition, and the 3' end, to which the tRNAs corresponding amino acid is attached (by aminoacyl-tRNA synthetases). tRNAs cope with the degeneracy of the genetic code in two manners: having more than one tRNA (with a specific anti-codon) for a particular amino acid; and 'wobble' base-pairing, i.e. permitting non-standard base-pairing at the 3rd anti-codon position.
Source: RNAcentral
GGGCUCAUAGCUCAGCAGUAGAGCGCUCGCCUUGCACGCGAGAGGCCAGGGGUGCGAAUCCCCUUGAGUCCA